AUAAUUCAUAUUGGCAUAUUAAGAAUAUAAAGCUGACUGAAAAAAAGCAUACUGUGAAGAGAUACAUACAUAUGGCAACAUUUUAAAAAUAAAAAAUUGUAUUAAGUGUAUGCAAAGAAAAAUCCUAGGACAGAUACUAAAUGUUAAGACUUAUUACCUUUAGGUGGGGAAGGUAUAGGUUAAUUUUUCCUUUGUGCUUUUCUGUAUGGCUCAGUAUUCUUCAGUGAGUACAUGUUACUUCUGAAAGUACUAGACUAUAAGCUCUAGAGGUGAGAGACGACUCUGUUUAUAAGAAGGGAGAGAAUUUUCUUUGUUUGCUAGAAGAGUGCCAGCUCAAUAAAUAUGUGUUGAAUGAAUAAAUGAAUGAAUUAGAAGAGGAGAAAUAUUUUGAAAUAAAUAAAGUCUCUUGUAUUUCGGCCUGUUAAUGCAUUAUUAGAGAAACUGCCUGGGUCCUAGGGUAUGAAGGAACUGCCACUGACUCCCUUCCAAUCCUGUGUCUCCCGCCUUCUUCAGGCACCUUGGAGCAGCCAAGUUAUUCCAGCCCAGAGCCUGGGAAGGGCCCAAGUGGAGAUAAAGAAACCAAGGCUCAGAGAGGUUAAGAAACUUGCCCAAGGACACACAGCUAGAAAAUGGAUGCUGGAGGGAAAAUAAGGCUCUUUCUACCCAAGUUGUGGUAAUACAGAUACUGAGAGUCAACAUAUGUCCCAGGGUCCACAGGAUCUGGAACUGGGGAGAGCAGAGAGGAAACUCGGUGUGGGCUGUGCAGGCCUCCCCACUGGCAGGAGGGUGUCUUUCUUCACUCAAGCUCACCCAAUUUGGCACCC
Manis pentadactyla (Chinese pangolin) is the source of this 824-nucleotide long non-coding RNA. RefSeq lists it as uncharacterized. Lineage: Eukaryota; Metazoa; Chordata; Mammalia; Pholidota; Manidae. The transcript is spliced from 3 exons. The record is from RefSeq and is a predicted model, not a curated record.